RNAcentral lists this transfer RNA (66 nucleotides) under Ostrinia nubilalis (European corn borer). RNAcentral describes it as "tRNA-Arg". Lineage: Eukaryota; Metazoa; Arthropoda; Insecta; Lepidoptera; Crambidae. The record is from RNAcentral.
AAAUAAUUAAUGAAUAUUUGCAUUUAAUUUCGACUUAAAAGAUAGAGUUUUAAUACUCCUUAUUUU